UACGGGGGGAGCAAGCGUUGUUCGGAUUUACUGGGCGUAAAGGGCGCGUAGGCGGCUUUGCAAGUGACGGGUGAAAGCCCUCGGCUUAACCGAGGAACUGCCUGUCAGACUGUGAGGCUUGAGACCGGGAGAGGUGAGUGGAAUUCCCAGUGUAGCGGUGAAAUGCGUAGAUAUUGGGAGGAACACCAGUGGCGAAGGCGGCUCACUGGACCGGAACUGACGCUGAGGCGCGAAAGCGUGGGGAGCAAACAGG
This 253-nucleotide ribosomal RNA is filed under the name uncultured bacterium. RNAcentral's name for it is "partial 16S ribosomal RNA". It matches the Rfam family "Bacterial small subunit ribosomal RNA", at positions 524 to 776 of the family's 1533-position model. The record is from RNAcentral.